AGAGCGCAAGGGGAAUGCCUUGGCAUCAGGAGCCGAUGAAGGACGUGACAAGCUGCGAUAAGCUUCGGGGAGCUGCAAAUGAGCAUUGAUCCGGAGAUUUCCGAAUGGGGAAACCCACUGUGGCAAUACCACAGUAACGUGCAUUGAAUCAAAUAGGUGUACGUGGGGAACCGCCUGAACUGAAACAUCUAAGUAGGGCGAGGAAAAGACAUCAACCGAGAUUCCGCUAGUAGUGGCGAGCGAACGCGGAGGAGGCCAAACCGAGUGUAGCAAUAUGCUCGGGGUUAUGGACGGACAUCAUGAUCGUGAAAAGCUAGGAGAACGGCAUGGGAAGGCCGGCAAUAUAGUGUGAGAGCCACGUAUCCGAAAGUAAUAGCGACAGUUCGUAUCCAGAGUACCGCAGGACACGAGGAACCCUGUGGGAAGUCGGGGGGACCACCCUCCAAGCCUAAAUACUACCUGAUGACCGAUAGAGGAGCAGUACCGUGAGGGAAAGGUGAAAAGAACCCCGGGAGGGGAGUGAAAUAGUACCUGAAACCUUGUGCUUACAAGCAGUCACAGCCCGUUAAAGGGUGGUGGCGUACUUUUUGUAGAACGGUCCGGCGAGUUAUAGUCACUAGCAAGCUUAAGGUAUUCAGUACCGGAGGCGCAGGGAAACCAAGUCUGAACAGGGCGUAAGAAGUUAGUGGCCAUAGACCCGAAACCAUGUGACCUAGCCAUGAGCAGGAUGAAGUGGAGGUAAAGCUCCAUGGAGGUCCGAACGCACGUUCGUUGCAAUGACCGGCGAUGACUUGUGGCUAGCGGUGAAAUUCCAAUCGAACUUGGAGAUAGCUGGUUCUCCCCGAAAUAGCUUUAGGGCUAGCGUUGGCAAUGAGUUUCCCGGAGGUAAAGCACUGAAUGAGCUAGGGGGCGCGAGCUUACUGAACUCUAUCAAACUAAGAAUGCCGGAGAAAUGCUUACCAGCAGUCAGACUGCGAGUAAUAAAAUCCGUGGUCAAAAGGGUAACAGCCCAGACCCACAGCUAAGGUCCCCAAUAUACGCUAAGUGGAAAACGAUGUGAGAUCGCAUAAACAACCAGGAUGUUGGCUUAGAGGCAGCCACUCGUUCAAAGAGUGCGUAAUAGCUCACUGGUCGAGUGAUUUUGCGCGGAAAAUUUAACGGGGCUAAGCGUAUAACCGAAGCUUGGGCUUGCACGAAAGUGCAGGGGUAGGGGAGCGUCGUGUACGGGGUGAAGUCGCACCGGAAGGAGCGGUGGACUGUACACGAGUGAGAAUGCCGGAAUGAGUAGCGAGAAUUAUGUGAGAAUCAUAAUGGCCGAAAAUCUAAGGUUUCUUGGGGAAGGUUCGUCCGCCCAAGGUAAGCCGGGAGCUAAGGCGAGGCCGAAAGGCGUAGUCGAUGCACAUACGGUAGAAAUUCCGUAGCCACCGAACUUUAAGUCAGAGGGACACUUUUGGAUAGCGGAACCCGGGCGUUGGUUGACCCGGGCGAAAGGGAGCGAAAAUAUAGUAGCGAAGUCCGCGAUGCUGAGAGGCGAGAAAAGCUCUGAUGGAUACUAAGGUGCCCGUACCGCAAACCGACACAGGUAGAUGAGGAGAGAAUCCUAAGGCCAACGGGAGAAGGGUUGUUAAGGAACUCGGCAAAUUGACCCCGUAACUUCGGAAGAAGGGGAGCCCCCUACGGGGGGUCGCAGAGAAAUGGCCCAAGCAACUGUUUACCAAAAACACAGGUCUAUGCUAAAUCGAAAGAUGACGUAUAUGGGCUGACGCCUGCCCGGUGCCGGAAGGUUAAGAGGAGAUGUCAGCGCAAGCGAAGCAUUGAAUUGAAGCCCCGGUAAACGGCGGCCGUAACUAUAACGGUCCUAAGGUAGCGAAAUUCCUUGUCAGGUAAGUUCUGACCCGCACGAAAGGCGUAACGAUUUGGGCGCUGUCUCAACAAGAAACUCGGUGAAAUCAUAGUACCUGUGAAGAUGCAGGUUACCCGCGAUCAGACGGAGAGACCCCAUGGAGCUUCACUGCAGCUUAAUAUUGAUAUUGGGUGUGUGAUGUACAGGAUAGGUGGGAGACGAAGAAGCGAGUACGCUAGUAUUCGUGGAGUCAACGUUGGGAUACCACCCUUCAUACAUUUAGUAUCUAACUAGUAUCCAUAAUCUGGGUAUAGAACAGUGUUAGGUGGGCAGUUUGACUGGGGCGGUCGCCUCCCAAAGAGUAACGGAGGCGCCCAAAGGUUCCCUCAGAAUGGUUGGAAAUCAUUCAAAGAGUGCAAAGGCAGAAGGGAGCUUGACUGCGAGACGGACAGGUCGAGCAGGAACGAAAGUUGGGCUUAGUGAACCGGCUGUGCUGAAUGGAAAGGCAGUCGAUCAACGGACAAAAGCUACCCUGGGGAUAACAGGCUGAUCUCCCCCAAGAGUUCACAUCGACGGGGAGGUUUGGCACCUCGAUGUCGGCUCGUCGCAUCCUGGGGCUGGAGAAGGUCCCAAGGGUUGGGCUGUUCGCCCAUUAAAGCGUCACGCGAGCUGGGUUCAGAACGUCGUGAGACAGUUCGGUCCCUAUCUGUCGUGGGCGUAGGAAAUUUGAAGGGAGUCGUCCCUAGUACGAGAGGACCAGGAUGAACGUACCGCUGGUGAAUCAGUUGGCCUGCCAGGGCCACAGCUGGGUAGCUACGUACGGACGGGAUAAACGCUGAAAGCAUCUAAGCGUGAAGCCCCCCCUGAGAUGAGAUUUCCCAUUAGA
This 2729-nucleotide ribosomal RNA is filed under the name human gut metagenome. RNAcentral describes it as "bacterial LSU rRNA". It matches the Rfam family "Bacterial large subunit ribosomal RNA". The record is from RNAcentral.